ACGUAGGAGGCGAGCGUUAUCCGGAUUUACUGGGUGUAAAGCGCGUGCAGGCGGUUCUGCAAGUGGGACGUGAAAGCGCUCUGGCUCAACCGGGCGAGGACGUGCGGAACUGCUGAACUGGAGGCAGGUAGAGGCGUGUGGAAUUCCGGGUGUAGUGGUGAAAUGCGUAGAGAUCCGGAGGAACCCCAGUGGCGAAGGCGACCUGCUCGGCCUUGCCUGACGCUCAGACGCGAAAGCAUGGGGAGCGAACGG
This 252-nucleotide ribosomal RNA is filed under the name uncultured prokaryote. RNAcentral describes it as "partial 16S ribosomal RNA". It matches the Rfam family "Bacterial small subunit ribosomal RNA", at positions 525 to 775 of the family's 1533-position model. The record is from RNAcentral.